This 73-nucleotide transfer RNA is filed under the name Piridium sociabile. Its description in RNAcentral is "tRNA-Cys". It matches the Rfam family "tRNA". From Rfam's summary of the family: Transfer RNA (tRNA) molecules are approximately 80 nucleotides in length. The record is from RNAcentral. Lineage: Eukaryota; Vitrellaceae.
GGUGAUAUAACCAAAAGGUAAGGUAAAGAACUGCAAAUUCUUUUAUUUCCCAGUUCAAUUCUGGGUAUCACUU